GUGCAGUAUGGCAGGAGAAGGGUUAGCACUCCCCGUGACAAGGAUGGAAGAGGCCCUUGGGGCCAACAGCACGGCAUGCGGUUAAGGAAUUGCCACCUACUUCGUGGCAGCUAACCACUGUUUGGG
Molecule: small nuclear RNA, 126 nt
Organism: Octodon degus (degu)
Lineage: Eukaryota; Metazoa; Chordata; Mammalia; Rodentia; Octodontidae
Source: Ensembl